Long non-coding RNA from Talpa occidentalis (Iberian mole), 1007 nucleotides. RefSeq lists it as uncharacterized. The record is from RefSeq and is a predicted model, not a curated record. The transcript has 6 exons. NCBI's taxonomy places the organism in Eukaryota, Metazoa, Chordata, Mammalia, Eulipotyphla, Talpidae.
UUUUCCUCAGUUCUCCCGUUCUCCGCGUCCCGCCCCGCCCUUCGUCACCAACGGAACCAGAACUCGGGCUUCAGGCCCAGCCAGGUGUGCUUUAGCCCCCGCACUCUCCGCCUCGGAGGCGCCAGGGGCGCUCUGCUCGCGCUCGCACAGGCUCUCCCAAUAUCCAGUCUCCGGAGGUGAUCAGCUGUGGUUCCACCGCGCUGUGGUUGGCAGGCCCCAGUUCUACAAAUAUAGCUGUACUGGAGAGAGCAGAAGAGAAAAGAAUAUUGUGGGGGCUCAGAGGAAAGCAAAAGAAGUGUUGACAUGUUGAAAGGAGGACACGGAUGUUAAAAAAGCCUCACAUUUCCUGGAUGAAGAUGAUGUUCUCACUUUAAACAAGGACAGAGCAAAGGAUUUUAAGGAUGAGAGGAGUUACAAAGCAAAUGUCUCCUCUUGCAGAUCUUUAACUUGAUUUAAAAGAAUUCAGUCCAAAUCCUUUGACAAUUGGAUUGGCAAACGAAAAUCAUUGGACUAGCCACUGUCUUUGUGAGAGACUGCUCGAAUGAAACCAACAUGGGAAAUGAAAGACCUCAAAUGGAGGAAGAAUAAAUCACUUUGACACUGUUCAAGACUGAGGGUGAUAAAUGGCAAUGAACACGGUUUCCUGCUGGCUGUCCCUGACCAGUGCCAACUCACUUGUGCUUUAUAUGUCUUACAUAUUGAUGCUCACAAAUUUGAAGUGUAAGUUACUAGAGGUCUGUAUGGUAAGGACAAUAGCAAAUGCUUUUUCAAAAAUCAGUAACAUCAUUGCCAAGCAUGGCCUAUUCUAUCCAUUUCUGCUCAUCCUGUAAGACUAAGGAAAAGAUAUAUACAGUUUAUUAGGCAAUUGAGUUUUGAGAAUAGUUCCAUCUUUUUUGAAACAUUAAUAUAGAUUUAGAGACUUGUUUUCAUUAAAAUUGCUGGUUGGAAAUGUCUGCAAUGUAUCUUUAUUAUGAUUGAUUUACAAAUACUGUGUAUAAAUAUCAAAU